GGAGAGAUGCUCGAGUGGUUGAUGAGGCACGCCUGGAAAGCGUGUAUACGCCAAAAGCGUAUCGCGGGUUCGAAUCCCGCUUUCUCCG
RNAcentral lists this transfer RNA (88 nucleotides) under Tannerella sp. Its description in RNAcentral is "tRNA-Ser". It matches the Rfam family "tRNA". Rfam says of the family: Transfer RNA (tRNA) molecules are approximately 80 nucleotides in length. Their secondary structure includes four short double-helical elements and three loops (D, anti-codon, and T loops). The record is from RNAcentral. Lineage: Bacteria; Pseudomonadati; Bacteroidota; Bacteroidia; Bacteroidales; Tannerellaceae. RNAcentral also lists the same sequence under 1 other name.